Molecule: ribosomal RNA, 433 nt
Filed under: uncultured bacterium
Lineage: Bacteria
Description: partial 16S ribosomal RNA
Rfam family: Bacterial small subunit ribosomal RNA
Source: RNAcentral
AACGAACGCUGGCGGCAGGCCUAACACAUGCAAGUCGAGCGAGGACUUCGGUUCUAGCGGCGGACGGGUGAGUAACGCGUGGGAAUGUGCCCUUCUCUACGGAAUAGCCCUGGGAAACUGGGAGUAAUACCGUAUACGCCCUAUUGGGGAAGGAUUUAUCGGAGAAGGAUCAGCCCGCGUUGGAUUAGGUAGUUGGUGGGGUAAUGGCCUACCAAGCCGACGAUCCAUAGCUGGUUUGAGAGGAUGAUCAGCCACACUGGGACUGAGACACGGCCCAGACUCCUACGGGAGGCAGCAGUGGGGAAUCUUAGACAAUGGGGGCAACCCUGAUCUAGCCAUGCCGCGUGAGUGAUGAAGGCCUUAGGGUUGUAAAGCUCUUUCAGCUGGGAAGAUAAUGACGGUACCAGCAGAAGAAGCCCCGGCUAACUCCGUG